RNAcentral lists this ribosomal RNA (549 nucleotides) under uncultured Glomeromycotina. RNAcentral describes it as "SSU rRNA". It matches the Rfam family "Eukaryotic small subunit ribosomal RNA", at positions 548 to 1098 of the family's 1831-position model. The record is from RNAcentral. Lineage: Eukaryota; Fungi; Glomeromycota.
UUGGAGGGCAAGUCUGGUGCCAGCAGCCGCGGUAAUUCCAGCUCCAAUAGCGUAUAUUAAAGUUGUUGCAGUUAAAAAGCUCGUAGUUGAAUUUCGGGGUCAGUAGGUUGGUCAUGCCACAGGUAUGUACCGGUCUCACUGAUUCCUCCUUCCUGAUGAACUGUAAUGCCAUUAAUUUGGUGUUGCAGGAAAUCUGGACUGUUACUUUGAAAAAAUUAGAGUGUUUAAAGCAGGCUAACGCCUGAAUACAUUAGCAUGGAAUAAUGAAAUAGGACGUUCGAUCCUAUUUUGUUGGUUUCUAGGAUUGACGUAAUGAUUAAUAGGGAUAGUUGGGGGCAUUGGUAUUCAAUUGUCAGAGGUGAAAUUCUUGGAUUUAUUGAAGACUAACUACUGCGAAAGCAUUUGCCAAGGAUGUUUUCAUUAAUCAAGAACGAAAGUUAGGGGAUCGAAGACGAUCAGAUACCGUCGUAGUCUUAACCAUAAACUAUGCCGACUAGGGAUCGGAUGAUGUUAAUUUUUUAAUGACUCAUUCGGCGCCUUACGGGAAAC